This 493-nucleotide unclassified non-coding RNA is filed under the name Hevea brasiliensis (rubber tree). The record is from RNAcentral. Lineage: Eukaryota; Viridiplantae; Streptophyta; Magnoliopsida; Malpighiales; Euphorbiaceae.
GGAUGUCAGCAUCUGGAAGAGAAGCCUCCACAACAUAGUCUUCAUGAACUGGGAAAUCAUGUGCAGAUUCUGUAAUAAUAUCAAAUCCUCUGACUGAGAAAUCAAGGACAUCAGCAGCAGGUAAUCCAUGUCCCUUCUCAGAAUUCACAAAAUCCAUUUCAGAAUGAACGGAUUGUGAAUCUGGCAGACAUGACACAGACUCUCCUACAUCUAAAUCAGGAAUGAUUGUAUCAUAUCUCUCUCUGUAUACUUGUAACUUGGGCUUGGGUUGGAAUCUUCUACUCUGCCCAGAUAUAGUAGUUACCCCAAGGAUAUCAGCUUCCAAGGAAGAGUAGGUGUCCGUUUCCAUCUGACAACUUCCACUAACAGAAAGAACGCUUGCUUGGAAUGUUAAUGGAUCUUGGCCUGCUGCAACCUCAUCAGAUUGAAGAUUGGAAGCACUAUGAGCUGAACCAUCAACUGAAGAAACUGGAACUAAAAGCUGUUCUUGUCG